GGGAAGAAGCAGAAGUAGAAAUGCAAGGAGUUUUCAAAGGACUGCAAAAGAAAACUACGCCAACCCAAGGAGAACAGAUGGUGGCUGAAAGAAUGGGAGGUAGAAGGAACUUACACAGAGCCACCUGUGUAGAAGAGCAGAGUAUGGACUUUAGCAUACCAAAUGUUGAGGACCGAGAAAGGCAGAAAAUGGUAGAAGAUUACGUCAGGAGCCAACAAGGGAUGCAAGGGGAACAAGAACAGAGGGACAGCUGCGAGCAGUAUCUACGGGAAGCAAAGCAACAUGAACAAGCACAAAAGAAAAGAGUGGAAUGGUACCUAAAAUAAGUGAAAAACGAAGGCGCCCCUAUGCCAGGUAUGAAUUAUGGGGGGGCCCUACCAGCACCCCGAAACCUAGUGUUCAAACUAAAAGAAGGGAAAAGGGGCAGCAGGAAAAGGAAAAGGGAGGGGACCAAGGGGAAAAAGAAGCCGGGAGAAGUGAGGGACGGCAGGACUUUGUGGAUGGAGCAUGGAACAGAGUAGUAGAGAAAAGAUGGAUGAAGGGAAAAGGAAGGAAGGUGAGACUAGAAGGGGGAUGUUAUAAUAAAUCCCUACCUGAGAUCAGAUGACGAGGAGAUGGAAGAUCAGAUAAAAAGAAUGGAAGACGUGAUCAUAUAUGAUGAAGGAACAAUGAAUAGAAUGGAAGAGCUGGCCGAUCAGUCUAAGCAAAUAGCAGAUGUAGUCACAGGGUUAAGGACCCAACAGAUGGAAGAAUUAAAGAAGUUACGGGAAAUGGAACAGGUGCUGAGCCGAUCCAUGGCCCAACAGAGGGAAGGCCAAAAGGUAUCAGUAGAGGGAGAGGAAAAGAUGGACCGGUAUCAGCCAGUAGCAGAAUUGGAUGAGGAAAAUAGAAGGAAUACUGGACAAGAGAGUGGAGCAGAAAGCAACAGGAGUGGGAAAGACGAGUUUGGAGCGACCCAGGGAGAGACAUCAGAGGAAGAGGAGGGUAAAAAAGGGAGGAAGUUGAGAGACCGAAAAAGCCUGAAACCCCCACUCAAAUAUCGCAAAUAUCCUGCCAGAGGGAAACUUAUGAGCAACAAGCCAGGGGAAUCAUCAAUAACGCAAUAUCCCCUGACGGUCAAGGGAAAAACAUUACAGUACACUCCAUGGAAUUUCAUGGAUCUGACUGGAUUAAUACAAAGGUUACCCGGCAUGUGUGAAGGAGGCCAGAAAUGGAUCACACAGUUUGAAGAAAAAACAGCAGGGCAACACCUGGCUGUAGGGGACAUUAAAGCCAUUUCAUGUCAAACAGUGGGAAAAGGACGCACUGAAGAGAUCCCAAAAACAGCCGGUAUAGACGACUCACUGGAUGACCCGACAAUAGAUCCUGUACCUUUUGGUGGAAUGCGGACGAUGAUAUGGGAUGCUAUUCGAGCAAUAUAUCCGGCUAAGAUGGACCCGGGGAGACUAGAAGUGAUCAAGCUAAAAGAGGACGAAAAUGUGUUAGCCUUUGUACAAAGUUUCCAAGACAAAUGGAGAGACGAGACGGGAGUGAAAUGGGAUUCCUCGGUAGCGAGUGUAGGACUGUUCGAAAUGCUGUUGAAAAAAGCACUACUGGAUGAGGUACAGAAGAAGCUGGAAGAAUUGGUAGGGCCAAGUUCAAUGGAAUGGAAUACAUUUAUGGCACACGUAACGCACCAUGUAGAACAGCACAGAAAGAUGAAAAAGGAGGCUAAAGAUGCCGCAGAGACCCUAUUGAAACAAUUAUACAAGGCACAGCUUGGAGAAAUAGCCAGGACCAAACAGGAGGAGAAAGAGAAAAGAAAAGAGAGUGCCAAGCAAGCGGCUAUGAUGGUGCCUGCACAGCCAACAAUCCUUGCUGGAACAGCUGUAGAGGCAAAGGGAGCAGACACCCAGGGAUAUCCCCAAGUGCAGGUGACGCAAGGGCCUGUGAUGAUGCACCCGACCCCCUAUGUUCAGAUGUAUCCAAUGUGUCCCCCCAUGUAUUCCGGACAGCCAUAUUGGAACAAGGGGAGAGUAACCAGACUGAGGGAUGCUGGGAGUGUGGGGACCCUAGCCAUUUGAGAAGGAACUGCCCACACCUCUCCAGACCGACAUGGGGUGAAAGGGUGGACAGGGCUGAAAGGCGAGGGCAGGUGUUGGGGCCUAGAGUUCCCCAACCAAUGCCUGAAGGCAGCAGGACGCAACUGCCCUGGCAGCCCCAGGUCCCGGUACCUCCGGGAGGCCACAUGUAUGGCCCCAGUGGAGGACAGGGACCGAACCAAGGUUGAAGAUGCCCAGAGGAGCCAAAGGGGGAGCUGAUGCAGUAUGCCACCACACUGCACCCCGAACAGGAACCCACAAUAAUGGUAAAAAUAGGAAACAUGUUUAGCACAUCUUUCAUGAUCGAUACAGGGGCCACCUAUUCAAGCAUCGGGUAAGAAGGCUCCCAGCUCCCCCUUUCACGUAAGGCAAUACAAACAAUGGGCUUCUCAGGGAAAACACAAACCUUACGAUUUACUGAGCCUCAGGAAUUAACACUGGAUGGGGUAACAAUUCAGGCCCCGCUUCUGUAUGUCCCAGACGCACCUGUCAACUUAUUAGGAAGAGACACUUUGUGUAAACUAGGGGCACAAAUACGGUGCGAAGCAACUGGCAUGUGGGUCACGUUUCCAAAAGCUAGGGCUAUGCAGUGCCUCAUUGUACUUGAAGGGAAAACAACAAUACAGGAAGUGGACAAGAUGUACUGGUUGGAAAUACCAGACUUACAUCAGUCGGAACUAUGGAAAAAGUAUCAAGAAUGGCAACCGUGGGUCCAAUAUAUGCGACCAGAGUACAGGGAAGUGAGCGUUCCGCUGCACUGCACCAUCAAAUACGAUAGAGGCGGGCAGGACCAGGACUACGCACAAUUAUGGGAAGAAAUGGAACAAGGACAGAAAAUGGACAUCAAGGGGUGUGGAUGUGGUCUGUGGACCUCAAGGGGUGGCGGCAACAAUUAAACUCCCAGACAGGAUAAUGAAUUGGUACCAGGACGAAGGAGCCGCUCCCCAUGUCACCCUCAUGGUGGCACACGGUUUUGAGCCAAAAGACUUAGGACCCAUGGUGAAACAAGCAAAGGAGGUAAGGGAAUGGAAACCCACUCAAAAUCAAUAUCUACAUACGUCACCAGAUGGGAAGUACACCCGCAUCUCGAUAGCAGCCAUUGACAUGACGGUUGCAGGAAGUAUGGAGAUACAUCGGAGGAUGGAUGAACAGAGUAGGCAAAUGGCUAUAGUGGAGCCGGACAGUGACACUACACAGGAUCUGCUGCACGAUAUACCCGAGCAACUAUAGACCAAGCAUGCAACGGACGUAGGACUAGUAAAAUCAGCAGGACUAGCAAAGAUAAAGAUCAAGAAGAAUGCAAAUUUGCCCUAUCAACGAUAAUAUCUGUUCUCGGUGCAAGCCAGGGAAGGUAUAAAGCCAACCAUACAGGGACUGCUGGAAGCAGGGGUCCUUGUUCCCACCAACAGUCCUUGCAACACACCCAUUUUUCUGGUAAAAAAGCCGGGUACAAACAAAUGGAGAUUGGUCCACGAUCUGCGUGCCGUCAAUCAGAUAGUAGUGCCAGAAACGCCCAUAGUACCGGACCCUCACACAUUGCUUACGAACAUCCCAGAGGGAACAAAGUGGUAUACAGUCAUUGACUUGUGCUCAGCCUUUUUCAGUGUGCCUUUGUAUCCAGAAUCGCGGCACCUGUUCGCCUUCACGUAUGAGGGGAAACAGUACACCUAUACGAGGCUGCCGCAAGGAUAUUGUGAAAGUCCAUCAAUAUUCAACCAGGUGUUGGCCCAAGAUUUGGCCACCCUGGACUGCCAGAGCAUGGUCCUCCAAUAUGUCGACGACCUCCUGAUAUGCAGUUCCUCAGAGGAAGAGUGUCAACGAGAUUCGCUAAAAGUAUUACGGCUACCGGCAGACAAUGGCCACAAAGUCAGCCCAGAGAAGCUACAGUUUUGCAAAACCAAAGUAGAAUAUCUAGGUCGAAUAUUAGAGGGAGAGAGCCGCACAAUAGCUCCCAGACAUGCGGAGUCCAUUAGUAAGGCCCAGAGGCCGCAGACAGUACGACAGAUGUUGGCUUUUUUGGGUAUGGCAGGAUUUAGUCGUCUGUGGGUAUGCGAAUUUGCUUUGAGAGUCCAACCCUUACGAGACAUGAUUAAAGCAGCACACCAUACGCAACCGAAUGCUAAGUUGGAGUGGACACCUGAAGGGGAUGCAGCCUUUAUAGAUAUAAAGGCAGCGCUGGCCACGGCACCAGCCCUUGCUAAUCCAGAUUAUAGAAAACCGUUUCAUUUGUAUGUUUCGGGAAGAAAAGGAUACGCGACUGCCGCACUAACCCAGCAACAGCAAGGCAAAGGAAGACAAGCUAUAGCCUACUACAGUACAGCCCUUGACAACGUAGAGAAAGGCAUGCCACCAUGCUAUCGUUCUUUGGCGGCAGCAGCGUUCACAUACCAGAAGGCAUCUUCAAUUACGAUGGGGCAUCUGGUCACCCUGUAUACAACCCAUGCUCUUCAUGCACUCUUGACCAGUCCGAAUUUUGUAAUAACAAAUUCGCGACGUACAGGGUAUGACUCCAUACUCUCGGCCCCUGAAUUAACUAUAGAAAGAUGCACUACGGUUAACCCAGCAGAAAAAAUGAUGACGCCCCUAGAUGAAGAUCCACAUGAAUGUGUCAGUGAGUCUGAAAAAUUCUUAAAAGCACGGCCUGAUUUAGAAACUGAUGCAUUACACGAUGCGGAGCGCACAUUCUUUGUAGAUGGUCCUGUUUCCGUACCAAUGAAGGGAAUCGGGCAGGGUAUGCCGUGAUAGAAGCAGACAAAACUCCCGCGGCGUUUAGGGUAGUUUUGAGUGUUCCCCUUCCGCAACCGUGCUCGGCCCAGCUGGAAGAGAUAAAAGCCUUGGCAGCUGCUUGUAAACUGGGCAGUGGAUGACGAUGCAAUGUGUACACAGACUCUAUGUACACAGACGCCUAUGCGCAUGGGGUAUGCCAUGUUUUUGGUCCUAUAUGGGCACAGAGGGGAUUCCAACGAGCCGACGGGUCUACUGUGACCCAUGGAGAGGCGAUCUCGGACUCAUUGUAUGUCAUGAACUUACCGUCGGCGGUAGCUAUUAUCAAAUGUAAAGCACACAAAACAGAUGGCUCUUUUAUUACUAAAGGAAAUGCAUUGGCAGACGAAGCCGCCAAGAAAGCUGCAGUAGGACCGGCCCAGAUGAUGGUGCUCACGAAGCCAGAAGAGAUCUCAGUACGUCACCCGAUGGAGGACAACAUAGCACAAAUAGUGGAAGUGCAAAACAUAGCCGGGGAAGCAGAACUCUCCAGAUGGAUAAAACGGGGGGCGAAAAAGUAUAAGGGAACUGGCCUUUGGCGUAGCAUCGAUGGCAUGUGUGUGGCCCCUGCUAGUCUCCUACCGUUACUGAUAAAAGACGCCCACGGUCUUGACCAUACCAACAGAGUAGAGACGAACCGGAAAAUAAGACAAGAAUGGUGGUCACUGUAUUUGGCGAGUGCGGCGGACCAGGCACUCAAUAACUGCGAAACGUGCAUAAGAAAUAAUGUGCGGAAAAAUUUCACUGCACCUCUAGGGCACAUUCUGCCGCCAAUGGGUCCGUUCAGACAUUUGAUGGACUAUGUGGAUAUGGGGGCCGAAAAUAGGAAGGAAUCAAAAUGCUACAUAUUCGUAGUAGAGGAUCGGUUUAGUAGAUGGGUAGAGGCUACGGCCACUUCUAGAGAAGACGCUAAAUGCAGCCAAGAUUCUCUGUCGAGAAGUCAUUCCACGUUUUGGUAUUCCAGACUAUCUGAGCUCUGACAAUGGAGCUCACUUCAUCGAUCAGACCAUUGAAUUGAUUACCAAGGCACUGGGGAUUGAGCACAAAUUGGGCUGUGUAUAUCAUCCCCAGUCCCAAGGUAUGGUAGAACGGGCUAAUGGCAUAUUGAAGAGUAAAUUGGCAAAAAUAUGUGACAGCUCACGACUAACCUGGAUGCAGGCCUUACCCCUAGCCCUGCUUAAAAUGCGCUCCCAAACUAGCCAAGUGACGCACCUCACGCCCCACAAAAUGUUAACAGGGCGCCCGAUGCCCAUGGCGUUUACACGCGCCCCGUACACGGCCCCUCGUUAGAACAAUUGGAGGGUGAAAUGAAAAGCUAUAUACGCACCCUCACACAAAUCCACAGACACUUGUAUUCGCAGAUCCAAGAGGCGGUCCACGGCGAGGAAGUGCCCCGGGUGAGGCAAAUCGAUCCGGGGGACCACGUCUGGAUCCGAGUCUUCAAGAGAAAGAACUCUCUAGAGCCACGGAGGGAAGGGUCAUUUGAAGUGGUGGCUGCCACACCAACGGCGGUAAAAGUAGCGGGACGACCCCACUGGUAUCACUUGAAGCACUUGACAAGGAAAUCAUUAUAGUCUGGGCUGUGGUCCUGGUGGCCGGACUAACUAUGGCUCUUUUACUCGUCUAUGCACCUUUUCACAACCCUGAGGAUACCCAUGAUUCCACCCCCGGAUGUAGUUAUACCCCGACAAGUACCAUGUCACCUAGAGCCGAGGCACCUGUUGCUACCUCAUUUCUCCCUCCUACCACACCCACACCGAGACCACCCCGAAGAUGCAAGAGAAACGCACGAGUAGGUCGUAUCUCACCAGAUGACCUCAACGAUAACCCAGCAGAACGUCUAAAGAUGGACAUUCUUUCCUUGUCCAUGUUUAGCCAAAAUCUCGAAAACCAGGUCAUAGAGAGCAUCAGGCACGCCGCACUGCGUCACGUCAUCAAGGCCGACCUGAUGGCGUUUUUUGGCCAGAAGGUCCCCCUCAACCCUUAGUAGAGGUCUCACUCCUGUAUAUGGC
Molecule: long non-coding RNA, 6856 nt
Organism: Ictalurus punctatus (channel catfish)
Lineage: Eukaryota; Metazoa; Chordata; Actinopteri; Siluriformes; Ictaluridae
Source: Ensembl